UGUGGUGUGGCUCAGUGGAAGAGCACUUGCCUAGCAUGUGUGAGGUACAGGGUUCAAUUCUCAGUAACACAU
Ictidomys tridecemlineatus (thirteen-lined ground squirrel) is the source of this 72-nucleotide non-coding RNA. The record is from Rfam. Lineage: Eukaryota; Metazoa; Chordata; Mammalia; Rodentia; Sciuridae.